ACGUAGGGAGCAAGCGUUGUCCGGAUUUACUGGGUGUAAAGGGCGCGCAGGCGGGUCAAUAAGUCAGAGGUGAAAUCCUACAGCUCAACUGUAGAACUGCCUUUGAUACUGCUGAUCUUGAGUAUGGAAGAGAGAGACGGAAUUCCAGGUGUAGUGGUGAAAUACGUAGAUAUCUGGAAGAACACCAGUUGCGAAGGCGGUCUCUUGGUCCAAUACUGACGCUGAGGCGCGAAAGCGUGGGUAGCAAACAGG
RNAcentral lists this ribosomal RNA (252 nucleotides) under uncultured bacterium. Its description in RNAcentral is "partial 16S ribosomal RNA". It matches the Rfam family "Bacterial small subunit ribosomal RNA", at positions 525 to 776 of the family's 1533-position model. The record is from RNAcentral.